GGGUUUUCUCUGCUUGCUUAGGUGGGGACAACCACUAGAUUCUGCUUUCUUCACUUGGCAAACACAGCAGUAAAUAUGCUGUUGUACCCUCUGUAGCUUCUGCAGAAGACUCUCUCUUACUCCAGUUGCAAUUUACCCAUCCAGGAACCCUGCUGGAGAAGGCACUGCAGAAGAACACAGUCUUUAUUUCUUGUCCUUUGGCUGUGUGGUUCUCUGAAGAAGAAAUGUCAUUUAAUGGAAAUCAAUCUUACACCAGCUAAACCCCUUGGGAUUAUUAAUUGCUGCCUCUUUUGGUCCCUUUGGAGAGCAAUUGCAUGUUUUUUCUUGCCCAACAAAUAUGGCUGCCCCAGCAAGAAUGAUCCUCUCAAUGGAUAUUGAAGAUCUGGGCACCACUGUGCUGAGUGUACAUAACACCAAAUCUGAAGACCCACCUGCCACGCCAUGGUAGCAGGGAGACUGCUGCUAGGAAUGUUGAUAAUAUUAAGCUACCGUUCGAACAGUCAGUAUCAGCAAGGAAUCAGUGAAAGUGCUGACUUUAGAAAAGAAGCUCUUCAUGUUUUAUUUCACUGUUAAUAAAACAAAGAUGUCACUACUAUGAUGCACCAUCAACUGGAAUAUUGCUUUGCAUACAUGGUGGGGGGGGGGGAAUAUCUCAGUACAGAUGGAUGAUUUUUCAUUCCUUCACAUAUUUUGCUCAUUGAGUAAGUCAUUUAUGAUUCUCUCUAAAAGACUGUGAGGCACUGACUUGCUCAGGAACAUUAAAUAAGUCAUCAGCAAAACUCCAGUGGCCUUUGGCACUUUAACAUCUCCUUCCUAUGACACUUCAAUUCUUUUGCAGCAGACAAACAUUUUAUUCUGCAGAAUCUCUUCCGAUGUCUCAGUUUCCCUACCAGUUCAAUGGGAUGCCAAUCUUUAAUUCUUUUGUGAUGUUUUCUUUUAGUUAAUAGACUACUGGGUGCCUAAAUUGGCUCUAAAGUCAACCAUUCAGGGAACUGUGCCUCCAGUGUACACCAAAAAAAGAGAGGAAAAAAGAAGAACAUUACAGAGCUGAAAUAUACUAUCCGUUUUUAUAAGACAACAUACUCACAAACUAAUUGAACAUGCAAAUGAAAAACACUUAGGAUGGGAACAAGAUGCUCCUUUUGCCCUAAAUUCCUUGUCUCCCUCUAUGUUUAAACAGUUUUGCUUUGAAUUCUUAGUUUGUUUUCUUAUUACAUUAAUGUGUAGGUGGCUAUUUGACUUUGACAGAAAGAAAAAGGUACAUUAACUUUAUUUUUUCAUGUUUAUCGUCAGUAGCAUAAUGCCCAGUGGCAGAUUCUUUUCUGUUAAUCCCACUGUCACUAACUAGUAAUAAAUUGUUCAUACCCUAUCAGAUCAUUAUGCCUUAGAUUUUCUUUUUACAAUCUGGGCUGUUGACUAAACAUGACCUGUAGCUUAUUAAUGAAGGUCUUAGCUCAUUAAUAAUCACAUUCAGCUUGUUGCAACAAUGAACAACUGCAUUCCAAGCUAUAGUUCCUAUAUUGUCUCUCUGUAUUUGUGUAAUAGCAUUCCAAAACUUUUUUAAAAAUAAAAUGUUUGACUCCACUAAUUAGAAAAGAGUUGAAUCAGGUUGAAUGACUGUAACUGAGGAAUCUCUCAUUUCAAACAAG
Molecule: long non-coding RNA, 1649 nt
Organism: Sceloporus undulatus (fence lizard)
Lineage: Eukaryota; Metazoa; Chordata; Lepidosauria; Squamata; Phrynosomatidae
Exons: 4
Source: RefSeq, a predicted model, not a curated record